UCCCUGGUAGCUCAGAGGUUAAAGCAUCUGCCUGCACUGCGGGAGACCCAGGUUCGAUCCCUGGGUUGAGAA
RNAcentral lists this transfer RNA (72 nucleotides) under Bos taurus (domestic cattle). It matches the Rfam family "tRNA". Rfam says of the family: Transfer RNA (tRNA) molecules are approximately 80 nucleotides in length. The record is from Rfam by way of RNAcentral. Lineage: Eukaryota; Metazoa; Chordata; Mammalia; Artiodactyla; Bovidae. RNAcentral also lists the same sequence under 4 other names.